Molecule: long non-coding RNA, 519 nt
Filed under: Nicotiana benthamiana
Lineage: Eukaryota; Viridiplantae; Streptophyta; Magnoliopsida; Solanales; Solanaceae
Description: long non-coding RNA (NBEN_LNC012262)
Source: RNAcentral
AUUAGUUGGAAGUCCAAGAAAUAACCUGUAGUUUCUUUAUCCUCUGCUGAAGCUGAGUAUAGGGCUCUCAGUAAGAUAGUAGCUGAAUUGUCUUGGCUUUCUCGUUUGCUCACUGACAUUGGUGUUUCUGUUUCUCUUCCCUUUUCUAUUUUUUGUGACAACCAGGCUGCUAUACAUAUUGCCAAGAAUCCUAUUUUUCAUGAGCGGACCAAGCAUAUUAAGGUAGAUUGUCACUUUGUUAGAGACCUGUUGACUGGUGGGCUCAUUACUCUCUCACAUAUCUCUACUUCUCGUCAGCUGGCUGACCUUCUCACCAAGCAUUUUUCAUGAGCAGACCAAGCAUAUCGAGGUAGAUUAUCAAUUUGUGAGAGAUCUGUUAGCUGGUGGGCUCAUUACUCUCUCCCAUGUCCCUACGUCUCGUCAGCUGGCUGACCUUCUCACCAAGCCUCUGCAUGGCACUAUCCUACAUCCUUUGCUGGUCAAGUUGAAGGUGGUCUCCUCCUCCAACUUGGGGGGGUG